This 309-nucleotide ribosomal RNA is filed under the name uncultured eukaryote. Its description in RNAcentral is "partial 18S ribosomal RNA". It matches the Rfam family "Eukaryotic small subunit ribosomal RNA", at positions 1470 to 1796 of the family's 1831-position model. The record is from RNAcentral.
CCCUUAGAUGUUCUGGGCGACCCGCGCACUACAUUGGCACUGGCAACAAGAUCCUAGAUCUGAUAUUUCGGGGUAUUCUACCAACUGGUGUCGUGACUGGGAUUAACCCCUGCAAUUAUUGGUUAUGAACGAGGAAUGCCUUGUAAUCACGGUUUAUCAACCCGUGUUGAAUGCGUCCCUGCCCUUUGUACACACCGCCCGUCGCUCCUACCGAUGAAUCGUCCGGUGAAGUUCAUGGAGUCGCGGCUGCUCCAGCUGUUUUCGAAGUGAAAUGGACCUCAUGAUUUAGAGGAAGGAGAAGUCGUAACA